This 315-nucleotide long non-coding RNA is filed under the name Gossypium raimondii (Peruvian cotton). RNAcentral describes it as "long non-coding RNA (GRAI_LNC009162)". The record is from RNAcentral. Lineage: Eukaryota; Viridiplantae; Streptophyta; Magnoliopsida; Malvales; Malvaceae.
CUUACCAAAACGAGCGAAGACCAACUAGAAUACUGAACCCCCAUCGAUUAGAACAAUCAAUUUGUUGAACCGAGUAGAGAGAAAAAAGGCAAAAAGGAAUUCGCAGAGGAAAGGAAAGGGAAAAGAAGAAACCAACGUUAGAAAAGAAAAUUUAAAAAGAGAGAGAAAAAUAAAAAUAAAAAAUUAAAUUAAACCAAAAAAAUAUCCUAACACCCCAUUAUCCCACUAUCUAACAAAUCCCACUAAACCAACCCCCUAACUCUUAACCACCACCAUAGACUUUCAAUCCCAUCGAACUUUAACUACACAACCGGC